AGCUCCAAUAGCGUAUAUUAAAGUUGCUGCAGUUAAAAAGCUCGUAGUUGCAUUUCCGAGGCAAGGGAUUAGUCCGACCUUUGGUGGGUAUUUCAUCCUCUUUCCUCGUCCUUGAGUGGUGCUUCUUGGUAUUAAGUUAUCGAGGAGAUAGCCGCUCAUCGUUUACUGUGAGAAAAUUAGAGUGUUCAAAGCAGGCUUAUGCCGUUGAAUAUAUUAGCAUGGAAUAAUAAGAUAGGACCUCGGUACUAUUUUGUUGGUUUGAGAACCAAGGUAAUGAUGAAUAGGGACAGUUGGGGGUAUUCGUAUUCAGUUGUCAGAGGUGAAAUUCUUAGAUUUACGGAAGACGAACUACUGCGAAAGCAUUUACCAAGGAUGUUUUCA
This 381-nucleotide ribosomal RNA is filed under the name uncultured marine Chaetocerotaceae. Its description in RNAcentral is "SSU rRNA". It matches the Rfam family "Eukaryotic small subunit ribosomal RNA", at positions 587 to 972 of the family's 1831-position model. The record is from RNAcentral. Lineage: Eukaryota; Bacillariophyta; Thalassiosirophyceae; Chaetocerotales; Chaetocerotaceae.